RNAcentral lists this ribosomal RNA (253 nucleotides) under uncultured bacterium. Its description in RNAcentral is "partial 16S ribosomal RNA". It matches the Rfam family "Bacterial small subunit ribosomal RNA", at positions 524 to 776 of the family's 1533-position model. The record is from RNAcentral.
UACGUAGGGCGCAAGCGUUGUCCGGAAUUAUUGGGCGUAAAGAGCUCGUAGGCGGUCUGUUACGUCCGCUGUGAAAACCCAGGGCUUAACCCUGGGCUUGCAGUGGAUACGGGUAGACUAGAGGCAGGUAGGGGAGAAUGGAAUUCCCGGUGUAGCGGUGAAAUGCGCAGAUAUCGGGAGGAACACCGGUGGCGAAGGCGGUUCUCUGGGCCGAUACUGACGCUGAGGAGCGAAAGCGUGGGGAGCGAACAGG